Molecule: ribosomal RNA, 460 nt
Filed under: uncultured bacterium
Lineage: Bacteria
Description: partial 16S ribosomal RNA
Rfam family: Bacterial small subunit ribosomal RNA
Source: RNAcentral
CCUACGGGUGGCUGCAGUGAGGAAUAUUGGUCAAUGGCCGGAAGGCUGAACCAGCCAAGCCGCGUGAAGGUCAGUGCCCUAUGGGCGUUAAACUUCUUUUGUGCGGGAGCAAUAAUGGUCACGUGUGGCCAGACGGGAGUACCGUAGGAAUAAGCAUCGGGUAACUCCGUGCCAGCAGCGGCGGGAAUAUAGGGGAUGCAAGCGUUAUCCGGAUUUAUUGGGUUUAAAGGGGGUGUAGGUUGGGAGGUAAGUCAGCGGUGAAAUGCCCCGGCGCAACGGGGUGAAGUGCCAUUGAUACUGCCUGGCUUGAAUGCGGAUGAAGUGCGAGGAAUGUGUGGUGUAGCGGUGAAAUGCAUAGAUAUCACACAGAACUCCGAUUGCGAAGGCAUCUCACGAAUCCCCGAUUGACGCUGAUGCACGAAAGCGUGGGUAUCAAACAGGAUUAGAUACCCCGGUAGUC